CGUUGUUGCCUUCGCGGGGCACGGUGAACACCGUGCACUGGCAGCUGGAGAUGGGAGAUUGUCGGAGGUGUGCUGCCGGCAUUAAGUUGGAUGCCGCACUUAAAUCGGUGGGAAUCUGUCUGACGCCGCCCGCCGGGCCUCAAACGGACUUCUUCCAUCUUUG
This 163-nucleotide unclassified non-coding RNA is filed under the name Spongia officinalis (commercial sponge). RNAcentral describes it as "sequence contains ITS1, 5.8S rRNA gene, ITS2". Lineage: Eukaryota; Metazoa; Porifera; Demospongiae; Dictyoceratida; Spongiidae. The record is from RNAcentral.